UUUCAAGUCUUUAAGAGCAAACGGUGGAUGCCUUGGCAUCUGGAGCCGAAGAAGGACGUAGCAAUCUGCGAUAAGCCUCGGGGAACUGAUAAGCAAGUUUUGAUCCGAGGGUGUCCGAAUGGGGAAACCCCGCUGGGCGGCGUGCCGACCUAGUGACUCCCGCCUGAAUAUAUAGGGCGGGUAGAGGGAACGUGGGGAAGUGAAACAUCUCAGUACCCACAGGAAGAGAAAGCAACCGCGAUUCCGUUAGUAGUGGCGAGCGAAACCGGAACAGGCUAAACCGAGUACGUGUGAUAUCCGGCAGGAGUUGCGUAUUNNNNNNNNNNNNNNNNNNNNNNNNNNNNNNNNNNNNNNNNNNNNNNNNNNNNNNNNNNNNNNNNNNNNNNNNNNNNNNNNNNNNNNNNNNNNNNNNNNNNGGGGUUGUGGGACUUUUCAGACAGUUCUGCCGAUCUGUCGGCGUUACAAGAAGGUAUAGACGAACCGCAUUGAAAGGCGGGUCAUAGAGGGUGCCAACCCCGUAGUCGAAAUGCCUCUCUUGACGCGAAGAGUAUCCCAAGUAGCACGGGGCCCGAGAAAUCCCGUGUGAAUCUGUCAGGACCACCUGAUAAGCCUAAAUACUCCCAGAUGACCGAUAGCGGACAAGUACCGUGAGGGAAAGGUGAAAAGUACCCCGGGAGGGGAGUGAAAUAGUACCUGAAACCGUUUGCUUACAAACCGUUGGAGCCUCCUUAGUAGGGGUGACAGCGUGCCUUUUGAAGAAUGAGCCUGCGAGUUAGCGAUAUGUGGCGAGGUUAACCCGUGUGGGGUAGCCGUAGCGAAAGCGAGUCUGAAUAGGGCGAUUCAGUCGCAUGUCCUAGACCCGAAGCGAAGUGAUCUAUCCAUGGCCAGGUUGAAGCGACGGUAAGACGUCGUGGAGGACCGAACCCACUUAGGUUGAAAACUGAGGGGAUGAGCUGUGGAUAGGGGUGAAAGGCCAAUCAAACUUCGUGAUAGCUGGUUCUCUCCGAAAUGCAUUUAGGUGCAGCGUUGCGUGUUUCUUGCCGGAGGUAGAGCUACUGGAUGGCCGAUGGGCCCUACAAGGUUACUGACGUCAGCCAAACUCCGAAUGCCGGUAAGUGAGAGCGCAGCAGUGAGACUGUGGGGGAUAAGCUUCAUAGUCGAGAGGGAAACAACCCAGACCACCAACUAAGGUCCCAAAGCGCGUGCUAAGUGGGAAAGGAUGUGGAGUUGCUGUGACAACCAGGAGGUUGGCUUAGAAGCAGCCACCCUUGAAAGAGUGCGUAAUAGCUCACUGGUCAAGUGAUUCCGCGCCGACAAUGUAACGGGGCUCAAGCACGCCACCGAAGUUGUGGCAUUGACAUUAUUGGUAGGCCUUCGUGGUCCAGCCGUGUUGAUGGGUAGGAGAGCGUCGUGUGGCCAGCGAAGCGGCGGUGUGAACCAGCCGUGGAGGCUACACGAGUGAGAAUGCAGGCAUGAGUAGCGAAAGACGUGUGAGAAACACGUCCUCCGAAAGACCAAGGGUUCCAGGGUCAAGCUAAUCUUCCCUGGGUAAGUCGGGACCUAAGGCGAGGCCGACAGGCGUAGUCGAUGGACAACGGGUUGAUAUUCCCGUACCGGCGAAGAACCGCCCAAGCUAAUCCAGUGGUGCUAAGAGUCCUAACCCGGCUGAGUGGAUCCCUUCGGGGUGAAGCCGGCCGGUCUAACGCUCGACCCCGUUCUGGUGCGGCUAGCGUAUUAACAGGUGUGACGCAGGAAGGUAGCCCAACCCGGGCGAUGGUUGUCCCGGGGCAAGUGCGUAGGCCGAGAGAUAGGCAAAUCCGUCUCUCAUUAAGGCUGAGACACGAUGCGGAUAAAAAGUGGGUGAUCCUAUGCUGCCAAGAAAAGCAUCGACGCGAGGUUCAAGCCGCCCGUACCCCAAACCGACUCAGGUGGUCAGGUAGAGAAUACCAAGGAGAUCGAGAGAAUCGUGGUUAAGGAACUCGGCAAAAUGCCCCCGUAACUUCGGGAGAAGGGGGGCCUUCCGCUUAUUAGGAUUUACUCCGAAAGGGCGUGGAGGCCGCAGAGACUAGUGGGUAGCGACUGUUUACUAAAAACACAGGUCCGUGCCAAGUCGCAAGACGAUGUAUACGGACUGACGCCUGCCCGGUGCUGGAAGGUUAAGAGGACCGGUUAGCCGCAAGGCGAAGCUGAGAAUUUAAGCCCCAGUAAACGGCGGUGGUAACUAUAACCAUCCUAAGGUAGCGAAAUUCCUUGUCGGGUAAGUUCCGACCUGCACGAAUGGCGUAACGACUUCCCAACUGUCUCAACCGCGAACUCGGCGAAAUUGCAUUACGAGUAAAGAUGCUCGUUACGCGCAGCAGGACGGAAAGACCCCGUGACCUUUACUACAGCUUGGUAUUGGUGUUCGGUGUGGCUUGUGUAGGAUAGGUGGGAGACUUUGAAGCGGUGACGCCAGUUACCGUGGAGUCAUUGUUGAAAUACCACUCUGGUCACUCUGGAUAUCUAACUUCGAACCGUAAUCCGGUUCAGGGACAGUGCCUGGUGGGUAGUUUAACUGGGGCGGUUGCCUCCCAAAAAGUAACGGAGGCGCCCAAAGGUUCCCUCAACCUGGUUGGCAAUCAGGUGGCGAGUGUAAGUGCACAAGGGAGCUUGACUGUGAGACUGACAGGUCGAGCAGGGACGAAAGUCGGGACUAGUGAUCCGGCAGUGGCUUGUGGAAGCGCUGUCGCUCAACGGAUAAAAGGUACCUCGGGGAUAACAGGCUGAUCUUGCCCAAGAGUCCAUAUCGACGGCAUGGUUUGGCACCUCGAUGUCGGCUCGUCGCAUCCUGGGGCUGGAGUAGGUCCCAAGGGUUGGGCUGUUCGCCCAUUAAAGCGGUACGCGAGCUGGGUUUAGAACGUCGUGAGACAGUUCGGUCCCUAUCCGCUGCGCGCGUAGGAAAUUUGAGAGGAUCUGACCCUAGUACGAGAGGACCGGGUUGGACGAACCUCUGGUGUGCCAGUUGUUCUGCCAAGAGCACCGCUGGUUAGCUACGUUCGGGAUGGAUAACCGCUGAAAGCAUCUAAGCGGGAAGCCGGCCUCAAGAUGAGAUUUCCAUACCUUCGGGUGAGAGGCUCCCAGCCAGACUACUGGGUUGAUAGGCCGGAUGUGGAAGCGUGGUAACACGUGAAGCUGACCGGUACUAAUAAGCCGAUGACUUGAUAAC
This 3205-nucleotide ribosomal RNA is filed under the name Microbacterium aquilitoris. RNAcentral describes it as "23S ribosomal RNA". It matches the Rfam family "Bacterial large subunit ribosomal RNA". Lineage: Bacteria; Bacillati; Actinomycetota; Actinomycetes; Micrococcales; Microbacteriaceae. The record is from RNAcentral.